AAACUUAUAAUCAUGGUGGAAGGUGAAA
RNAcentral lists this non-coding RNA (28 nucleotides) under Homo sapiens (human). The record is from RNAcentral. Lineage: Eukaryota; Metazoa; Chordata; Mammalia; Primates; Hominidae.